GAUGAACGCUGACAGAAUGCUUAACACAUGCAAGUCAUUGGCGAAGCUGCGCUUGCGCAGUCUAGCCUAGGCGGACGGGUGAGUAACGCGUAAGGAACUUGCCCUGCAGACAGGGAUAACAGACGGAAACGACUGAUAACACCUGGUAUUGUCAGGCUGGCGCAUGCCGGCCUGAUGAAAGGAGACGCUGCAGGAGAGCCUUGCGUCCUAUUAGCUAGUUGGUGGGGUAACGGCCCACCAAGGCGAUGAUAGGUAGCCGGCCUGAGAGGGUGAACGGCCACAAGGGGACUGAGAUACGGCCCUUACUCCUACGGGAGGCAGCAGUGGGGAAUAUUGGACAAUGGGGGCAACCCUGAUCCAGCAAUUCUGUGUGCACGAAGAAGGUUUUCGGAUUGUAAAGUGCUUUCAGCAGGGAAGAAGAAAGUGACGGUACCUGCAGAAGAAGCGACGGCUAAAUACGUG
RNAcentral lists this ribosomal RNA (462 nucleotides) under uncultured bacterium. RNAcentral describes it as "partial 16S ribosomal RNA". It matches the Rfam family "Bacterial small subunit ribosomal RNA", at positions 28 to 507 of the family's 1533-position model. The record is from RNAcentral.